Molecule: ribosomal RNA, 1039 nt
Filed under: Staphylococcus aureus
Lineage: Bacteria; Bacillati; Bacillota; Bacilli; Caryophanales; Staphylococcaceae
Description: partial 23S ribosomal RNA
Rfam family: Bacterial large subunit ribosomal RNA
Source: RNAcentral
GAAAUAGAACCUGAAACCGUGUGCUUACAAGUAGUCAGAGCCCGUUAAUGGGUGAUGGCGUGCCUUUUGUAGAAUGAACCGGCGAGUUACGAUUUGAUGCAAGGUUAAGCAGUAAAUGUGGAGCCGUAGCGAAAGCGAGUCUGAAUAGGGCGUUUAGUAUUUGGUCGUAGACCCGAAACCAGGUGAUCUACCCUUGGUCAGGUUGAAGUUCAGGUAACACUGAAUGGAGGACCGAACCGACUUACGUUGAAAAGUGAGCGGAUGAACUGAGGGUAGCGGAGAAAUUCCAAUCGAACCUGGAGAUAGCUGGUUCUCUCCGAAAUAGCUUUAGGGCUAGCCUCAAGUGAUGAUUAUUGGAGGUAGAGCACUGUUUGGACGAGGGGCCCCUCUCGGGUUACCGAAUUCAGACAAACUCCGAAUGCCAAUUAAUUUAACUUGGGAGUCAGAACAUGGGUGAUAAGGUCCGUGUUCGAAAGGGAAACAGCCCAGACCACCAGCUAAGGUCCCAAAAUAUAUGUUAAGUGGAAAAGGAUGUGGCGUUGCCCAGACAACUAGGAUGUUGGCUUAGAAGCAGCCAUCAUUUAAAGAGUGCGUAAUAGCUCACUAGUCGAGUGACACUGCGCCGAAAAUGUACCGGGGCUAAACAUAUUACCGAAGCUGUGGAUUGUCCUUUGGACAAUGGUAGGAGAGCGUUCUAAGGGCGUUGAAGCAUGAUCGUAAGGACAUGUGGAGCGCUUAGAAGUGAGAAUGCCGGUGUGAGUAGCGAAAGACGGGUGAGAAUCCCGUCCACCGAUUGACUAAGGUUUCCAGAGGAAGGCUCGUCCGCUCUGGGUUAGUCGGGUCCUAAGCUGAGGCCGACAGGCGUAGGCGAUGGAUAACAGGUUGAUAUUCCUGUACCACCUAUAAUCGUUUUAAUCGAUGGGGGGACGCAGUAGGAUAGGCGAAGCGUGCGAUUGGAUUGCACGUCUAAGCAGUAAGGCUGAGUAUUAGGCAAAUCCGGUACUCGUUAAGGCUGAGCUGUGAUGGGGAGAAGACAUUG